Molecule: ribosomal RNA, 532 nt
Filed under: uncultured bacterium
Lineage: Bacteria
Description: partial 16S ribosomal RNA
Source: RNAcentral
UAGUUUGAUCCUGGCUCAGGAUCAAGUCGUAACAAGGUAACCGUAAGCCGUAACGAGGUAGCCGUAAGUCGUAACAAGGUAGCCGUAAGUCGUAACAAGGUAACCGUAGAGUUUGAUCAUGGCUCAGCCUUUGACUUAAAAAAAUGGAGAAGUCGUAACAAGGUAACCGUAAGUCGUAACAAGGUAGCCGUAAGUCGUAACAAGGUAACCGUAGAGUUUGAUCCUGGCUCAGCCUUUGACUUAAGAAAAUGGAGAAGUCGUAACAAGGUAGCCGAACGUCGUAACAAGGUAACCGUAGAGUUUGAUCAUGGCUCAGGAUAAGUCGUAACAAGGUAGCCGUAAGUCGUAACAAGGUACCGUAGAGUUUGAUCCUGGCUCAGGAUGUACGCUGGCGGCGUGCCUAAUACAUGCAAGUCGUAACAAGGUAACCGUAAGUCGUAACAAGGUAACAGUAGAGUUUGAUCCUGGCUCAGAUAAGUCGUAACAAGGUAACCGUAAGUCGUAACAAGGUAACCGUAGAGUUUGAUCCUGA